This 510-nucleotide ribosomal RNA is filed under the name uncultured Actinomycetes bacterium. Its description in RNAcentral is "bacterial SSU rRNA". It matches the Rfam family "Bacterial small subunit ribosomal RNA", at positions 349 to 856 of the family's 1533-position model. The record is from RNAcentral. Lineage: Bacteria; Bacillati; Actinomycetota; Actinomycetes.
CAGCAGUGGUGGUAAUAUUGCACAAUGGUCGGAAAGCCUGAUGCAGCGACGCCGUCGUGGGGUGAUGAAGGCCUUCGGGUUGUAACUCCUUUCGACAUGGGACGAAUGCGUAAGUGACGGUACCUGUAUAAGAAGCACCGGCUAACUACGUGCCAUGCAGCCGCGGUAAUACGUAGGGUGCGAGCGUUGUCCGGUAAUUACUGGGCGUAAUAGAGCUCGUAGUUGUUUUUCGCGUCGUCUGUGAAAUUCCGGGGCGUAAUUCCGGGCGUGCAGGCGAUACGGGCUGACUUGAGUGCUGUAGGGGAGACUGGAAUUCCUGUGUGUAGCGGUGAAAUGCGCAGAUAUCAGGAGGUAACACCGAUGGCGUAAGGCAGGUCUCUGGGCAGUAACUUGACGCUGAGGAGCGAAAGCAUGGGUAGCGAUACAUGGAUUAGAUACCCUGGUAGUCCAUGCCGUAAACGGUGGGCGCUAGGUGUAGGGGGCUUCCACGUCUUCUGUGCCGUAGCUAAC